RNAcentral lists this unclassified non-coding RNA (121 nucleotides) under Verrucomicrobiota bacterium. Lineage: Bacteria; Pseudomonadati; Verrucomicrobiota. The record is from RNAcentral.
GGGAACCCCGUGAGAAUCGGGGGCGGUUGCGCCACUGUAACGGGUUACAAAAUCCCAAUGCCACUGGUCUCAGCGAAGACCGGGAAGGCGGGAGUGAGGUCAAGCCCGAAGCCAGGAUACC